CACGACUGGCGGAGCGCAGACGGCGCGCAGACGGCUCCACCCCUGGCCUCCGCCCGCCCCUUCCGCGUCCCGCAGGGAGCCUGGCAGGAAGGGCCAAUGGAAAUGCUAAUGCCUCUGACCAGAUUUCUUUGCCAGUGUGGAGACGCUCGGAGCCUCUUCUGAAAACACCAUCGAGAGCAUAAGGGGGAGGGGGAAGACGACGGAGACGGAGAGCGAGA
Molecule: long non-coding RNA, 218 nt
Organism: Herpailurus yagouaroundi (jaguarundi)
Lineage: Eukaryota; Metazoa; Chordata; Mammalia; Carnivora; Felidae
Exons: 3
Source: RefSeq, a predicted model, not a curated record